RNAcentral lists this non-coding RNA (31 nucleotides) under Rattus norvegicus (Norway rat). Lineage: Eukaryota; Metazoa; Chordata; Mammalia; Rodentia; Muridae. The record is from RNAcentral.
UAGAACCUUUUCAAUGGUAGCCAUAAAUGGU